GCACAAACACAAAAAAAAUAAAACCCAUCAAUCGAAAUCAAAACCAGUCAACUUCACUCCUGUAAGUUAAGAAACCUUGUUCACGUUACCCGAGAAACACGUAUCACAACCAACCUUUUUACAACCAUCCUGCUCCGUUCGUUUCCACUUCCAUGCAAAAUCAACGGCUGCGAUCAUAAAUUUUCAAACUUUCAUGCUCUCUGUUUACACCCCCUCACAUUCCUCCUCACAGCCACUCGGGUUCAGACACAACUGAAAAAGAUAAACAUACGUAAAGUAACAAAGAAAGCAAAAUCUCGUACACACACUCUACUUCUAUUUCAACGCAGAGAGGGUCGAGUGUGCACCGAGAGAGUAUUCAAGAAUGGAGGAGAGACCAGAGACGGAGUUGAUAUCCAUUCCAGCAACGCCACGUGCAUCGACGCCGGAGAUACUGACUCCGUCAGGUCAAAGGUCACCAAGGCCAGCUUCAAAGGAAGCGAAAUCAUCGACAGCAUGGACACCGACAUCGUUUAUCUCGCCGAGGUUUUUGAGUCCAAUAGGGACGCCAAUGAAGAGGGUGUUGAUUAACAUGAAGGGUUAUUUAGAGGAAGUGGGUCAUUUGACUAAGCUAAAUCCGCAAGAUGCUUGGCUUCCUAUCACCGAGUCUCGUAACGGGAAUGCUCAUUAUGCGGCGUUUCAUAACUUGAAUGCCGGUGUUGGGGUUCAAAGCACAAAAAUAAAUAAAAUGUCUUUUACGAUUCCUUUAGACAAGCACGCACCGAAAGAAUCUGGUCACAUAUGUAGAUGCGGUGAGGGGUCCAUGAAACACGGAGUCAUCCAUUAUAUAUCGAAGCUUUUGCUUCAUUCACGGCAAGAUCCCCAUGUGCAUGUUCUCAUUGACCAUUGCCCCGUGAUAUUUUAA
Molecule: long non-coding RNA, 904 nt
Filed under: Populus tremula
Lineage: Eukaryota; Viridiplantae; Streptophyta; Magnoliopsida; Malpighiales; Salicaceae
Description: long non-coding RNA (PTRE_LNC003286)
Source: RNAcentral